CCUACGGGAGGCAGCAGUGAGGAAUAUUGGUCAAUGGCCGUAAGGCUGAACCAGCCAAGUAGCGUGAGGGAAGACUGCCCUAUGGGUUGUAAACCUCUUUUAUGCGGGGAGAAAGGUGUCCACGUGUGGAUGAUUGCAGGUACCGCAUGAAUAAGGACCGGCUAAUUCCAUGCCAGCAGCCGCGGUAAUACGGAAGGUCCGGGCGUUAUCCUGAUUUAUUGGGUUUAAAGGGAGCGUAGGCCGGUCUUUAAGCGUGCCGUGAAAUUUUGUGGCUCAACCCUGAGAGUGCGGCGCGAACUGGCGCCCUUGAGUGCGCGGCAGGCAGGCGGAUUUCGUGUUGUAGCCG
RNAcentral lists this ribosomal RNA (346 nucleotides) under uncultured bacterium. RNAcentral describes it as "partial 16S ribosomal RNA". It matches the Rfam family "Bacterial small subunit ribosomal RNA", at positions 338 to 681 of the family's 1533-position model. The record is from RNAcentral.